This 460-nucleotide ribosomal RNA is filed under the name uncultured bacterium. RNAcentral describes it as "partial 16S ribosomal RNA". It matches the Rfam family "Bacterial small subunit ribosomal RNA", at positions 338 to 795 of the family's 1533-position model. The record is from RNAcentral.
CCUACGGGGGACAGCAGUGAGGAAUAUUGGUCAAUGGACGGAAGUCUGAACCAGCCAUGCCGCGUGCAGGAAGACGGCUCUAUGAGUUGUAAACUGCUUUUGUACAAGGGUAAACCUGAAUACGUGUAUUCAGCUGAGAGGACUGUACGAAUAAGGAUAGGCUAACUCCGUGCCAGCAGCCGCGGUAAUACGGAGGAUCCACGCGUUAUCCGGAUUUAUUGGGGUGAAAGGGUGCGUCGGCGGAUUGAUAAGUUAGAGUUGAACUGUCCGAUCUGACCUCGGGAACUGCCUCUCAUACUGUUGAUCUAGAGCGUAGCUGCGGUAGGCGGAAUGUCUUGUGUAGCGGUGAAAUGCUUAGAGAUCAUACAGAACACCGAUUGCGAAGGCAGCUUACCAAUCUAUAUCUGACGUUGAGGCACGAAAGCGUGGGGAGCAAACCGGAUUAGAUACCCUGGUAGUC